RNAcentral lists this ribosomal RNA (205 nucleotides) under Klebsiella variicola. RNAcentral's name for it is "partial 23S ribosomal RNA". It matches the Rfam family "Bacterial large subunit ribosomal RNA", at positions 2743 to 2925 of the family's 2925-position model. Lineage: Bacteria; Pseudomonadati; Pseudomonadota; Gammaproteobacteria; Enterobacterales; Enterobacteriaceae. The record is from RNAcentral.
CGGUAGCUAAAUGCGGAAGAGAUAAGUGCUGAAAGCAUCUAAGCACGAAACUUGCCCCGAGAUGAGUUCUCCCUGAGACUUUAAGUCUCCUGAAGGAACGUUGAAGACGACGACGUUGAUAGGCCGGGUGUGUAAGCGCAGCGAUGCGUUGAGCUAACCGGUACUAAUGAACCGUGAGGCUUAACCUUACAACGCCGAAGCUGUU